ACUCCUACGGGAGGCAGCAGUGGGGAAUUUUGGACAAUGGGCGAAAGCCUGAUCCAGCCAUUCCGCGUGCAGGAUGAAGGCCCUCGGGUUGUAAACUGCUUUUGUACAGAACGAAAAAGCUCUGGCUAAUACCUGGAGUCCAUGACGGUACUGUAAGAAUAAGCACCGGCUAACUACGUGCCAGCAGCCGCGGUAAU
Molecule: ribosomal RNA, 197 nt
Filed under: uncultured bacterium
Lineage: Bacteria
Description: partial 16S ribosomal RNA
Rfam family: Bacterial small subunit ribosomal RNA
Source: RNAcentral